CGAGGUGGUUGAUGUUUGUUGGGUCGAGGUGGUUGAUGUUCGUUGGCUCGAGGUGGUUGAAGGUCGGUGGGUUGAGGUGGUUGAAGGUCGUUGAAUCGAGGUGGUUGAAGGUCGGUGAGUCGAGGUGGUUGAUGUUCGUUGGGUCGAGGUGGUUGAUGUUCGUUGGGUCGAAGUGGUUGAUGUUCGUUCAGUCGAGGUGGUUGAUGUUUGUUGGGUCGUGGUGGUUGAUGUUCGUUGAGUCGAGGUGGUUGAAGGUUGGUGAGUCGAGGUGGUUGAUGUUUGUUGGGUCGAGGUGGUUGAUGUUCGUUGAGUCGAGGUGGUUGAUGUUUGUUGGGUCG
This is a long non-coding RNA of Gasterosteus aculeatus aculeatus (three-spined stickleback), 338 nucleotides long. NCBI's taxonomy places the organism in Eukaryota, Metazoa, Chordata, Actinopteri, Perciformes, Gasterosteidae. The record is from Ensembl.